UACGAAGGGGGCUAGCGUUGUUCGGAAUUACUGGGCGUAAAGCGCGCGCAGGCGGUCUUCCAAGUCAGGGGUGAAAGCCUGGAGCUCAACUCCAGAACUGCCAUUGAAACUGUUAGACUUGAGUACGAGAGAGGUGAGUGGAAUUCCCAGUGUAGAGGUGAAAUUCGUAGAUAUUCGGAAGAACACCAGUGGCGAAGGCGACUCGCUGGACAAGUAUUGACGCUGAGGUGCGAAAGCGUGGGGAGCAAACAGG
Molecule: ribosomal RNA, 253 nt
Filed under: uncultured bacterium
Lineage: Bacteria
Description: partial 16S ribosomal RNA
Rfam family: Bacterial small subunit ribosomal RNA
Source: RNAcentral